RNAcentral lists this ribosomal RNA (337 nucleotides) under uncultured bacterium. RNAcentral describes it as "bacterial SSU rRNA". It matches the Rfam family "Bacterial small subunit ribosomal RNA", at positions 28 to 369 of the family's 1533-position model. The record is from RNAcentral.
GACGAACGCUGGCGGCGUGCUUAACACAUGCAAGUCGAGCGGUAAGGCCCUUUCGGGGGUACACGAGCGGCGAACGGGUGAGUAACACGUGGGUGACCUGCCCUUAGCUCUGGGAUAAGCCUGGGAAACUGGGUCUAAUACCGGAUAUGACUCCAUAACGCAUGUUGUGGGGUGGAAAGCCUUGUGCGGCUAGGGAUGGGCCCGCGGCCUAUCAGCUUGUUGGUGGGGUGAUGGCCACCAAGGCGACGACGGUAGCCGGCCUGAGAGGCGACCGGCCACACUGGGACUGAGACACGGCCCAGACUCCUACGGGAGGCAGCAGUGGGGAAUCUUGCGC